ACCAAAAGACAUGGUUGUUGUGUCUAUAAAAGCCCACACAAUUGUCAUAGAGGCAGAAGUCUCUUACACACUCCUCUGGAACGUGUGAGAAGAUUUCUCCCCAAAGCUGGAUGCAGUUUUGAGGCUACUUUUCUGGAAAUUGAGGGAAAAGACUUCGAUGUGUACCCCAUCAAGAACUGGAUGUGCAAUCCUGGAGCCAGAGAUUCUGUACAGUUGUACCAAUAACACUGUAAUAGCACUGAUUCUAUAUGUACUGAAAAUAGAUUUGGAAUAAAAACAGUCUUAAAGCCAGUCGUUUCAGCAGCUGGAGUGGGAAGCAAACACACUUCUGGAGUUCUUCAUCAGAUAAUAUAUCCUGUUGACGUACAUAUUUUCUUCCACGCUUUAGGAUCAACUUGGUGUCACUUUCAUGUGUUUGUUAACUGUUUUUUACUUCACUGGUCUCCAUGUCUGACUUUUGUAUAUUUUAGAUACUUUUUCUCCUUAAUCUUUGCUACCAUUAAACCAAUUUUUUUUUCCACCUUCAUUUACAUUUCUUUAACUGACAUUUUAUGAAUUACUUCUAUCUGUGAGUUUUCCAGUGCCAGACCUAUACCCCAUGUUUUAUCACUCCACCUCUCUGCUCCUCUACCCUACACACUUGUCUCAGCUUGUCGUACAUAUCAGGGCAGUAUUUCUGUAUACUACAACAUUGUGUUAAGAGUUACAAAUAUCACUCAUAGAUUAAUGUUUAUUAUGGCUGUAAAACUCUGGUAUCUUUAUAAAA
This is a long non-coding RNA of Corvus hawaiiensis (hawaiian crow), 766 nucleotides long. RefSeq lists it as uncharacterized. The transcript has 3 exons. The record is from RefSeq and is a predicted model, not a curated record. NCBI's taxonomy places the organism in Eukaryota, Metazoa, Chordata, Aves, Passeriformes, Corvidae.